AAUAUCUUGGUAGAGAUUGUGAACAGUAAUUCUGUGAGGGCAACAAUAAUGCAGGGUCACUGUUUCUUUCUAAUUCGUACCCGAAACUGAGCUAAAAAAACCAUGUGAUGCUCACUUUGAUGUAACACCAUAUGCUGGCAUCUGGAUUUUAGUGCAUCUCCACUUCAAAUUUGCAUGUUGAUCAUCAUUGGGUUGUCCUUGUAGGCCUUGAAGGAUCCUCGAAAAUGCUUGGAGUUCACCAUACUUCUGGUGGUGUUCGGGACGUUCGCGUGAAGCUCCUUUUGACAUGGCCUUACGAACAUAUGCCUGAGAUAUUAGAGGUUUCCACGACUUUUCACGUCUUAGUUGCCGUCAAUUGUUGUAGUCUUUCCUGUUUACUGGAAAAUGGAAAACCUUCUUCAUCAAAAAAUGAAGGAACAGAUGGCAAAAUGUUACUCGAUUUCAGGUGACGGACAGCUUUACCACUGUAUAAACGUGUGCAGCUCGCUGCCGCCACUAAGAUGCAGUUAGGCAUCGCUUUUGCCACGCCUACCUUUCCGAAUGAAAAGCGUUGCAAGAAGCCGCAAGCAUUCUCACAAACGGCCCAGAUUCCGAC
Molecule: long non-coding RNA, 595 nt
Filed under: Musa acuminata (dwarf banana)
Lineage: Eukaryota; Viridiplantae; Streptophyta; Magnoliopsida; Zingiberales; Musaceae
Description: long non-coding RNA (MACU_LNC008691)
Source: RNAcentral